RNAcentral lists this ribosomal RNA (468 nucleotides) under uncultured bacterium. RNAcentral describes it as "partial 16S ribosomal RNA". It matches the Rfam family "Bacterial small subunit ribosomal RNA", at positions 28 to 507 of the family's 1533-position model. The record is from RNAcentral.
GACGAACGCUGGCGGCAUGCUUAACACAUGCAAGUCGAACGGAAAGGCCCUGCUUUUGUGGGGUGCUCGAGUGGCGAACGGGUGAGUAACACGUGAGUAACCUGCCCUUGACUUUGGGAUAACUUCAGGAAACUGGGGCUAAUACCGGAUAGGAGCUCCUGCUGCAGGGGGGGGGUUGGAAAGUUUCGGCGGUUGGGGAUGGACUCGCGGCUUAUCAGCUUGUUGGUGGGGUAGUGGCUUACCAAGGCUUUGACGGGUAGCCGGCCUGAGAGGGUGACCGGCCACAUUGGGACUGAGAUACGGCCCAGACUCCUACGGGAGGCAGCAGUGGGGAAUAUUGCACAAUGGGCGGAAGCCUGAUGCAGCAACGCCGCGUGCGGGAUGACGGCCUUCGGGUUGUAAACCGCUUUCGCCUGUGACGAAGCGUGAGUGACGGUAAUGGGUAAAGAAGCACCGGCUAACUACGUG